GAUGAGUUUAUAAAUAAGUCUUCUAAACUUAUUCUAGGUUAAAACCUACUCAUUU
Molecule: transfer RNA, 55 nt
Filed under: Caenorhabditis sp.
Lineage: Eukaryota; Metazoa; Nematoda; Chromadorea; Rhabditida; Rhabditidae
Description: tRNA-Ser
Source: RNAcentral